UCCGUAGGUGGAUAAUUAAGUCAGAGGUGAAAUCCUGCAGCUCAACUGUAGAAUUGCCUUUGAUACUGGUUAUCUUGUGUCAUUAUGAAGUGGUUAGAAUGUGUAGUGUAGCGGUGAAAUGCAUAGAUAUUACACAGAAUACCGAUUGCGAAGGCAGAUCACUAAUAAUGUACUGACACUGAGGGACGAAAGCGUGGGGAGCGAACAGGAUUAGAUACCCUGGUAGUCC
Molecule: ribosomal RNA, 229 nt
Filed under: uncultured bacterium
Lineage: Bacteria
Description: partial 16S ribosomal RNA
Rfam family: Bacterial small subunit ribosomal RNA
Source: RNAcentral